AGUGAACGCUGGCGGCAUGCCUAACACAUGCAAGUCGAACGGCAGCACAGUAAGUUCUUGCUGUUACCGAGUGCCGAUCGGGUGCGUAUGACGUAUGCAUCGGACUCUACUUUUUGGUGGGGCAUAAGGAAGCGGGACUUACUCUAAUAUCGCAUACGAUGUACGAGUGAGAGCAGUGGAUCGUCGGAGCUUUCGCGAUUGAAUGAGCCGAUGUCGGUUUAGCUAGUGGGAGGGGUAAAGGCCCACGAAGUCGAGGAUCCGUAGCUCGUGUGAGAGGAUGAUCGGCGACACUGGAACUGAGACACGGCCCAGACUACUACGGGAGGCAGCAGUGGGGAAUGUUGGACAAUGGGCGAAAGCCUGAUACAGCGAUACCGAGUGUGUGAAGAAGGCCUUCGGGUUGUAAAGCCCUUUUGUUGGGAAAGAAACGCUUUCGCCUAAUACGACGCGGGUGUGACGGUACCGGAAGAAUAAGCACCGGCUAACUACGUG
This 492-nucleotide ribosomal RNA is filed under the name uncultured bacterium. Its description in RNAcentral is "partial 16S ribosomal RNA". It matches the Rfam family "Bacterial small subunit ribosomal RNA", at positions 29 to 507 of the family's 1533-position model. The record is from RNAcentral.